Molecule: transfer RNA, 67 nt
Filed under: Marmota monax (woodchuck)
Lineage: Eukaryota; Metazoa; Chordata; Mammalia; Rodentia; Sciuridae
Description: tRNA.Val
Source: RNAcentral
GGUUGUGGUUCAGUGGAAGAGCCCUUGCCUCACAUGUGUGAGGCCCUGGGUUCGAUCCUCAGCACCA